AUUUGGAGCCUUAAAACAGUUGCAUCAAUUGUAUUUCUUAUUAAGCGGGUCCUGUGUACCAUGUCAGUUUAUUUUUUUUAAUCGAAAAAGUGGUGCGUAAAUAAGUCGGGGGUAAUAAAGAAAUUGCAGGGACCGGUUUGAGUAAUAGUAAAAUUUUCUGCAGCUUUCCCUUAUCCCCAUUAUUCUUCUUUAAAAAUAUUUUCUUCCAGCUUUCUCAUCUUCUCGUUUGGACUCUACCUCUUCAAUUUUUAUUUAUUAACUCUUCCCAGCUUUUUCUCUCUAUCACAAAUGGCAACUCUCUCAACUACCAGCUUUUUCAUUAAACUCUUCGGCGACUCUCUCUCUCAACUACCAGCCUGCAGCUCAUUUACUCCACACAUACCAAUCUUUAGACAGAGAGACCUCCUAAUGUAUAAUUUUUAAGGGUAAAUACACCGUACCCAAGCACCUAUAAAAACCAUAGCAACCGUCCUCAAGCACUUCAUAGUUUUUUCUAAACAGUUCUCCAUUUCCUAACAUUCUAGAAGUGUCUCUCUUUUAAUAGUUCUGUUCUUUUGAGAAAGAACUUGGGUAGGCAACAGAUCUCAAAGAUUCUAAACAGAGGUGGUUCUACCUUUCAGCGCUGGUAGCGGAUGUAUUUUUAUCUGGUACGUUUUUAUUUCAUCUAUUUAUAUUUAUUAUUUUCAUUACAAUUGUAUUUUAUAAUUAGCAAUUAUUAGUAUUCAAAUAUUUUCCCCA
Quercus robur (English oak) is the source of this 738-nucleotide long non-coding RNA. RefSeq lists it as uncharacterized. Lineage: Eukaryota; Viridiplantae; Streptophyta; Magnoliopsida; Fagales; Fagaceae. The transcript is spliced from 2 exons. The record is from RefSeq and is a predicted model, not a curated record.